GUGAGGAAUAUUGGACAAUGGAUGGAAAUCUGAUCCAGCCAUGCCGCGUGCAGGAAGACGGCCCUAUGGGUUGUAAACUGCUUUUGUAUGGGAGCAAUAAGGGUUACGAGUAGCCUGAUGAGAGUACCAUACGAAUAAGGACCGGCUAACUCCGUGCCAGCAGCCGCGGUAAUACGGAGGGUCCGAGCGUUAUCCGGAUUUAUUGGGCUUAAAGGGUGCGUAGGCGGUUUUAUAAGUCAGCGGUGAAGUUUUCCGGCUCAACCGGGGGACUGCCGUUGAUACUGUAAGGCUAGGAUAUGGUUGCUGUGGGUGGAAUGUGUGGUGUAGCGGUGAAAUGCUUAGAGAUCACACAGAAUAUCGAUUGCGAAGGCAGCUCACAAAGCCAUCAUUGACGCUGAGGCACGAAAGUGUGGGGAUCAAACAGGAUUAGAAACCCCGGUAGUCC
RNAcentral lists this ribosomal RNA (445 nucleotides) under uncultured bacterium. Its description in RNAcentral is "partial 16S ribosomal RNA". It matches the Rfam family "Bacterial small subunit ribosomal RNA", at positions 354 to 796 of the family's 1533-position model. The record is from RNAcentral.